AGCGGACGCUGGCGGCAGGCCUAACACAUGCAAGUCGAACGGAUCCUUCGGGAUUAGUGGCGGACGGGUGAGUAACACGUGGGAACGUGCCCUUUGGUUCGGAACAACUCAGGGAAACUUGAGCUAAUACCGGAUGUGCCCUUCGGGGGAAAGAUUUAUCGCCAUUGGAGCGGCCCGCGUCUGAUUAGCUAGUUGGUGAGGUAACGGCCCACCAAGGCGACGAUCAGUAGCUGGUCUGAGAGGAUGAUCAGCCACACUGGGACUGAGACACGGCCCAGACUCCUACGGGAGGCAGCAGUGGGGAAUCUUGCGCAAUGGGCGAAAGCCUGACGCAGCCAUGCCGCGUGAAUGAUGAAGGUCUUAGGAUUGUAAAAUUCUUUCAGCGGGGACGAUAAUGACGGUACCCGCAGAAGAAGCUCCGGCUAACUUCGUG
Molecule: ribosomal RNA, 433 nt
Filed under: uncultured bacterium
Lineage: Bacteria
Description: partial 16S ribosomal RNA
Rfam family: Bacterial small subunit ribosomal RNA
Source: RNAcentral